RNAcentral lists this ribosomal RNA (491 nucleotides) under uncultured bacterium. RNAcentral's name for it is "partial 16S ribosomal RNA". It matches the Rfam family "Bacterial small subunit ribosomal RNA", at positions 28 to 506 of the family's 1533-position model. The record is from RNAcentral.
GAUGAACGCUAGCUACAGGCUUAACACAUGCAAGUCGAGGGGAAACGGCAUCGAAAGCUUGCUUUUGAUGGGCGUCGACCGGCGCACGGGUGAGUAACGCGUAUCCAACCUGCCCAUCACUUGGGAAUAACCUUGCGAAAGUAAGACUAAUGCCCAAUGACAUCCCACGAAGGCAUCCGAAUGGGAUUAAAGAUUUAUCGGUGAUGGAUGGGGAUGCGUCUGAUUAGCUUGUUGGCGGGGUGACGGCCCACCAAGGCAACGAUCAGUAGGGGUUUGGAGAGAAAGGUCCCCAAAAUUGGAACUGGGACACGGUCAAAACUCCUACGGGGGGCAGAAGGGGGGAAUAUUGGCAAAGGGGGGGGAGCCUGAACCAGCAAAUUGGCGUGCAGGAUGACGGCCCUAUGGGUUUUAAACUGUUUUUAUAAGGGAAUAAAGUGGGUCACGUGUGACUUUUUGCAUGUACCUUAUGAAUAAGGACCGGCUAAUUCCGU